GAGUUUGAUCCUGGCUCAGAAUGAACGCUGGCGGCGUGCCUAACACAUGCAAGUCGAACGAGAAAGUUCCUUCGGGAAUGAGUAGAGUGGCGCACGGGUGAGUAACGCGUGGGUAAUCUGCCCUUGGAUUUGGGAUAACUUCGCGAAAGCGGAGCUAAUACCGGAUAGUCUGGCUUUGUAAAAGGAGUCGGUAAAGGAUGCCUCUGCAUAUGCAUUCGUCCGAGGAUGAGCCCGCGUCUCAUUAGCUAGUUGGUAGGGUAACGGCCUACCAAGGCGACGAUGAGUAGCUGGUCUGAGAGGAUGAUCAGCCACACUGGGACUGAAACACGGCCCAGACUCCUGCGGGAGGCAGCAGUGGGGAAUAUUGCGCAAUGGGCGAAAGCCUGACGCAGCAACGCCGUGUGGGGGAUGAAGGUUUUCGGAUCGUAAACCUCUGUCAGAAGGGAAGAAGUGAUGCGGGUCCAAUAGGCCCGCAUUUGACGUACCUCAAAGAAGCACCG
Molecule: ribosomal RNA, 500 nt
Filed under: Desulfomicrobium orale
Lineage: Bacteria; Pseudomonadati; Thermodesulfobacteriota; Desulfovibrionia; Desulfovibrionales; Desulfomicrobiaceae
Description: bacterial SSU rRNA
Rfam family: Bacterial small subunit ribosomal RNA
Source: RNAcentral